AGCUCAAAUUCAGAAAACCGUGCUGCACCUGGGUGACCUGUUACAGGAGUGUCUCCUCUUUUCAGGGGUACCAGCUGAUACUAAACAUACUGCCACUGAGAGCCCUGACCCGAGUACUGAGAGGGGCAGGCAGGCCGAGCUGACCUCCCGGCCGGGCGCCGUGGUCUCGCAGGGAAAGGGUACGUCUCCCGGGACCCGCCGCCCUGGCGGUCCACACCUCCGCGCUUUCGGGGAUCGCCGUGGGUCUGGAGUCGAGGAGCGGACGGACAGUGGUCAGGGACCGGUCGAGGAGCGGACGGACAGUGGUCAGGGACCGGUCGAGGAGCGGACGGACAGUGGUCAGGGACCGGUCGAGGAGCGGACGGACAGUGGGACAGGGACCGGUCGAGGAGCGGACAAGGACUGGUUGAGGAGCAGACACCGACGGUGGACAGGGACUGGUUGAGGAGCAGACACAGACGGUGGACAGGGACUGGUUGAGGAGUGGACAGACAGUGGACAGGGACUGGUUGAGGAGUGGACAGACAGUGGACAGGGACCGGUCGAGGAGUGGUCGGGGACUGGUAAGGGAGUGGACAGGGACUGGUCAAGGAGUUGGUUAGACAGUGGUCUGGGACAGGAGAAGGACUGGUCAGCCAGUGGUAAGGGGCUAAUCAGCCAGUGGUCAGUGACUGUAGAGACUGGCGUCCUUGUGGCCAUCAGGCCAGAUCCUGAGCUGUCUCGUCUCCUGAGGAUCAUGUCCUGUGGAGGAGAAGUAAGCUCACUGUUGCCUGAGCCAGCCUGACCGCCUGCCCCCUGUCCCCUCCGUCUCCUGACGCCCUGCUGCUUGUUUCCUCUGCGUCCCGACAGUGGUCAUCGCAGUCGUCGUCGCCCUGUGUGUGGUGUUGCACCUGAUUGGAGGGGCUCUGUACCUGUGGAAGAGGCAGAAACGCCAGGACUCGGGUAAUUCUGACCCCCCCCAGAGUCACUCCUGCUCCCCCCUCAUGGACUUUGCAGCGCAAUGGCGACACCUUGUGGCCGUCAAGUGGUACUGCUCACCUACCGGCACUGCAGCUCAGAGUUGAGCACAAG
This 1071-nucleotide long non-coding RNA is filed under the name Lepisosteus oculatus (spotted gar). RNAcentral describes it as "lncRNA (ENSLOCG00000023260.1)". The record is from RNAcentral. Lineage: Eukaryota; Metazoa; Chordata; Actinopteri; Semionotiformes; Lepisosteidae.